GUUUGCAAGCUUCGAAAGUCCUUUUAUGGCUUGACUCGAGCUUGGUUUGAGAGAUUUAGUUAAGUGGUACAGGAGUUUAGUAUGCCAAAAAUUAAAUAUAAUCAUUUCGUGUUUUAUAGGCAAUCUGCGACUAGCCUAAUCUUGUUAGUGGCAUAUGCAGACGAUAUUGUCAUCAAUAUGAGUGACUCUACAAGUCUCUCAUCUCUAAAAUCCUUUCAACAAGUUUCAAACAAAAGACUUAAGUUUGCUUAAGUACCUUUUAGGCAUUGAAGUUACAAGAUGUUAAGAAAGGCAUUUUCUUAUCUUAGAGAAAGUAUGUCCUUGACUUAUUAGCAGAAAUAAGGAGGUUAGGUGCUAAGCCUUGCAGUGCAAUGGUGAGUUGUUUGAAG
RNAcentral lists this unclassified non-coding RNA (389 nucleotides) under Hevea brasiliensis (rubber tree). Lineage: Eukaryota; Viridiplantae; Streptophyta; Magnoliopsida; Malpighiales; Euphorbiaceae. The record is from RNAcentral.